This is a long non-coding RNA of Sander lucioperca (pikeperch), 1667 nucleotides long. RefSeq lists it as uncharacterized. The record is from RefSeq and is a predicted model, not a curated record. The transcript has 3 exons. NCBI's taxonomy places the organism in Eukaryota, Metazoa, Chordata, Actinopteri, Perciformes, Percidae.
CUAAUGUGAUAUUGUGCAUUCUAUUCAAAUCUUGUGAUGUCAUUUUCUAUUUUAUUGUGAUAGUUAGCAUUCUAUUAUAUUCUGUUCUAUUGUAUUCUAUUCAACUCUGUUCUAUUCUCGAGGUCAUGCUCCACUUUUAGUGCCCGUGGUGACGCUCUCAUAUGGCUUCAGUCAGCUGCUUCAUGUUGACAAGAAGCCCACUAUAAUUCCGGAAAUUGGGAGAUUUUCUUAUCAAAAUAAAAUAAAUGACCUGAUGAUUUGUCCUGAAGGACCUAUUUAUUUAUCUUAAUAACAACUGUAACUUUUUACGUGGUGUAUUUUGGCGUCACAAUUAUUCUUCCAUGCACAUUUCUAUUCGCGGAGGCAUUUUGUUACUGAAAUAUAUUAUAUAUUGUAUUUGUUGUAGAAUAGAACCAUUUUAUUUUUACGGGUUGGAUCGGAAGCGAUGUUUGAUUUAGGCUAACUUGACGCCAAAUAUCAAUGUCCGACUUUGUACCUGAUAGGAACAAGCUCGGCUUCUCCUAAAUAACGCAUUUCAUUACUACAGCAACAGCAGGAUGGAUGUGCAUCAUCUGCAUCAUCACAUUAACAUCUGACAGCUGUCGGUUCCUGUUUCACUGCAGAAUCUGAGUUUUCUGAUCUCACAAGACCAAAUGUCAGCUGUGAAGCCAGUUCAGUACUGGACCAAGUUUAUUGCUACUGAAAUGAUGUCACCAUGUGUUGGAGGAGUCGGUCGACUAUAGAGCAGAGGGAGAGGAAUGUAAAGACCCUUUGUGUUUAUGGCAGAAAGACACUCAGUUAGUGUGGCCAAAAAGCAGUGGAUGUGGCUGGCGUCCAGCUGCGGCCGGCCUUCUCAAUGGUCUCUCCCACUAUGAAAGCAUUGGUGGAUGCUGUAUGGGCGGUGUGGAGCAUCGGGGCCUCCAUUUAUGACUACAUCCACACUAAUGCUAUGGAGGAGCGCAUCCAUGCUCUGGAGGACGUCAUCACCAUCCACCAGUGUGUGAUUGGACUUCUGUCCGCAGGCGUAUUGGUACUCUUUACCUACAUCCUUUUCAAGAAGAUCUGAAGAUGCAUGAAGGGGUGGGCUGUGGGCGACAUGGGGGGGGGGUGGACUGACCAGAAUCAAACAUUAGUGUCCAGCGUAGUAAAGCAAACACUGACCAGAUAAACAAAGGGGAAUUUUUACACGCUGGAUACAUCAGACCAGCUCAUUAGAGCUAGAGGGUAUUAAUAGCCAGGGGCGUAGCACAACAUUUUGGACCAUAUACACAGGCAUUCUCUAUGGGCCCCUCCACACAUCCUCAGCUAUUCAUUCUAGUAACUUUGUGGGCCCUCCUCAAAUGAGGGCAUACUCAGUCCCUUUCCCCCCUUCUUUAAAUUUGUAUUUAAAAUGAAUGGCUUUACUUCUAAAAAAGGAUUCAUUGUUCCCCCCAAAAUGUUAUCUUUUACAGGCCUCUGAUGAAGCAAUUAGACCAUCAUGGGAUACUGUGACUCAGUAGCUCAUCACAAGUUUUUUUGGCUGAAGCUGUUGACUAAAAUAUGUUUAUAUUUUCUUAGGUUUGUUCUCUGAUACAAGAACACCCAGUGUCAGCAGAACAGACACUCCAUUAUAUCAGCAGUAAACUGGCCAAUUUGCAAUUUGUUUUGAGCCCAAGUAGCUGAAUGUA